AGAUUAAUAGUUAAAAAAAAAUAUUAAUUUUGUAAAUUAAAGAUAUACUUAAAAUAUUUAAUCUU
This 65-nucleotide transfer RNA is filed under the name Stenamma muralla. RNAcentral's name for it is "tRNA-Thr". Lineage: Eukaryota; Metazoa; Arthropoda; Insecta; Hymenoptera; Formicidae. The record is from RNAcentral.